Non-coding RNA from Sus scrofa (pig), 5389 nucleotides. The record is from RefSeq and is a predicted model, not a curated record. NCBI's taxonomy places the organism in Eukaryota, Metazoa, Chordata, Mammalia, Artiodactyla, Suidae.
CUGCGCCGGCCCCGGCGCCUCGGCCCUCCCCUUUCGCUCCCGCGCUCGCUCCCGCCCUCCCGGCGCUCCGGGCGCCGCGCGCGGGCCCGGCCCGGGGCAGGGCGGACAUGGGAGCCAAGCAGAGCGGCCCGGCCGCUGCUAACGGCCGCACCCGUGCGUACUCGGGCUCGGAUUUACCUUCCAGCAGCAGCAGCAGCGGAGGGGCCAACGGGACCGCAGGCAGCGGGGCGCGGGCCGCGGCCGCCGGGAGAUUGCCGGCUCAGGUGCCCGGCGCGCACCAGCCUAGCGCCUCCGGCGGCGCCGCGGCGGCCUCGGCGGCCCCGCGCAGCCGCUCCCUCGGCGGGGCGGUGGGAACCGUGGCGUCGGGGGCCCGCGCGGCGCAGUCCACCUUCAGCAUCCCCAAUAGCAGCAGCGGCCCGUACGGCUCGCAGGACUCGGUUCACAGCAGCCCGGAGGACGGCGGCGGCGGCGGCAGCGGCGGCGGCAGGGACCGGCCGGCGGGCGGGGGCCCCGGCGGGCCGCGCCUGGUGAUCGGCUCUUUACCAGCUCACCUCUCGCCGCACAUGUUUGGAGGAUUUAAGUGCCCAGUAUGCUCAAAAUUUGUACCCUCAGAUGAAAUGGAUUUGCAUCUUGUGAUGUGUUUAACAAAGCCAAGAAUAACCUAUAAUGGGAUUAUUUCACAUUUCAGCUGCUUUUGUUUUCUACUGCUAUCAUUGAGGGUUCAAGAACAAAAAAUAAGUCUUCAGAGGAUGUACUGAGUAAAGAUGCUGGGGAAUGUUCAAUAUGCCUUGAAGAGUUGCAGCAGGGAGAUACGAUAGCACGACUGCCUUGUCUAUGCAUAUAUCAUAAAGGCUGCAUAGAUGAAUGGUUUGAAGUAAAUAGAUCUUGCCCUGAGCACCCUUCAGAUUAAGCAUUUAGCUUCCUGUUUUAUAGGUUUCCUUGUCUUUUCAAGAUGCUUGAAAAACUGAGAGGAUAUGAAGAUCUGUCUCUGGAAAAGCAAAAACAAAAAUGCAGGCACACUCAGCCAGAAAUCUAAGUUCUGUGAGACUCAAUAUGCAGAGAUGGACAAUCAUACAGGAAAAAAAAAAUCCCACUCGAGAGGACAGUUGCCACAGAACUCAGUGUACCAAACAUGCAUAUAAAGGACACACAGGGAUUUUGAAAAUGCUGCAUAUCCCUUAAUAGUCAUCCACAUAGGUAAUACUGAUGAACAUUUUGUAUUCAGACGCCAAAGUUAACUGAUUUAAAAGUUGAUUUACUUUUUAUUAAGUUCUCUCGAACUGCGCAACUAGCUGUGUUUGAUUUGUUUUGGUUUUCACUUUGGGGUCCCUUUAUUUUCCCCAACAUGAUGUUCCUGCAUUCAUCUGUUCUGAAAUUGAACACCACAUAGUUUACUUCUUAAAAACUAAAGUUUUAAAUGUGACACCAAGAAAUGUAAUCAAGCAGUAAAACAUUCUCUGAAUGUAGACAAUGAUCUCAAGUUCUUCAAUUUUUGUUUUUUUCCAAGAGUGGAAAAUAGACUUCUACAUAGGAAAGCUAAAGUAUGUUAAUAUUUUAAAUUAAAGGUUUAACAUUAUCAGAAUGCAGUCCAAAGAGUGAAAAUCACGUUACCUACUUAUAUUUUAAUUGAUUAAAUCUAGGAUUAUCUACUGAAUUGCAAUUUAUUAAAUAUAUUAUUUUCUUUUAAAUAAAACUGUUCAACAGUUAAUCAGCAAUGAAUCAUCUUGCAGCUAUGCAACUUAAAAAAAAAAAAUUCACCAGUUUUAAGUGCUGCCAGCUAUAGUAACUUUGUUUUAACGGGUAUGUUUGUUUGUUCUUUUAAUGUAAUUAUUUUAUUGUGCUUUGCAUCUCUAAGCAAUUUUCCCACAUUUGGGUAAAAUGUUUAGCAGGUUGUAAACUUAAUAACUUAUGAAAAGGGUAAAAUAAAAUUUCUUGAGUGGAACUUGAAAUAAUUUGAGGGACAUUUUUAUAUACUUUUAAAAAUCAGAAUUUAAUUGGGAUGCCAGAUUUAUAGCAAUUUGCAUCUUUAAUUUUCCAGAUAAUCUGGAUGUUAGCAUUUGAUAAAUGAUUUUUUUAAAGCAAACAUGAAGAUUUUGUUAAUUUAUAAUUUAUUAAUGUUAUUACUGUAAUUGAAAAUGUUGGAGACUUUUAAAUUCAGUCUGUGUAGAAAGAAAUGUAUUAAGCAAAACUAUGCGAAUAAAUAUUCCCACAAAAUAUAUCUGAAUGGUUAAAAAAUACUGGAAGAGAGCUCUCAGGGCUGUAAUAGUGAGGGUUUUUUUUUGUUUUGUUUUGUUUUAAUAUCGAAGACACCAAUAAAUAGAUUUUGUGUUUCCAACAUAGGGAAAAUGUUAUCAGUGAACAAUUAAAGCAGUGCACUUUACUAAGUAUAAUUGAAAGUUGCACAGCACUGUUUCCUUAUCUUAAGCUUUCUUUAAUAUCUUUAAGUAUUGCUUUUCUGUUUACUGCUGCUAUUCUUAAUCCUUCUCAAAUUUUUUCCCUACUUUAUUGCUUCUGAUUCAUUUUUUUAAAGGGGAGGUAGAGGAGCAACCGCUGCUACCCGUAGAAAUUUGUGUAUUUUAAACAAUUAGAAGAGUUUUUAAUGGCUUUCUGUGUGAUUCUAGACCAGGUAACAUUUUUCCUAAAGUUAAUGCUGUGAAAUGCCUUUUGUUAUGCUGCAAUUGAUAGAAGAAUCCAAAACCUUCAUUGUGACAGCCAACAGCAUAGUUUCAUAGGUGCUUUCUUAACCAGUUACAGAAAAUAUUCUUUCCUCAAGGAAAAUAUUCUUUUCUUAAUUUUUUCUGUUGUCAUGAGAUCUUAAUAUGAAUGUAUCUUAGUUCAUGUUUUCAAUUUUCUAAGCUUUGCUCACACAUUACACGCACAUUCACACACGCACACGGAAGAAACCUCUUGGAAUGUGAAUAAUUCAUUUUGUUUCUCCUUUUCUAAUUCUAAGAAUUAUUGUGUUGGCUUCCGUUCUUAAAGGAAAAGAUUUGCUAUAGUUGUGGUAGUAAACUUUUGAUAUUCUCUCAGAAGUUGAUUUUCUGAUAUAACUUACUCAUUAUCUUCUAAAGUUGAUUGGCCUGAGUUAGUUUUCCUUCUUUAACCUGUAUCAUACUCUCAGAGUCUCGUUCACUUAGCCUCUCUUUGCAUGAGGUUCUGUGCUGCGGUUUCUGCAAUAGAAGCUCCUGUGGUUUAAAAGGAAGUUCAGUGUUUGUCCGUGUCAAGUGCUACUUGAUUAUUUGUCUAGAACAGUAUUUACUUAAAUCUGCUUAUAAAAAUCCUUUUUUUUUUUUUUUUUGGUUAAAAUUUACAGAAGUUGGCUUUAUUCUUUUUUUCUACUUUAAAAUUGAGUCUCCAUCAAUUACUUCCUAAAAAGAAGAAUUUAGGAAUUGAAGUGAAAAGAUUCGUAAAGCCUAGAUACUCCAGUUUUUACUUAAAAUUACUAUUCUGAAAAAAUAUCAUAAGUAAUAUUACACAUAGUAUCACUUGUAAUGUUUGUAAAUUUAUAUACAGACAUUGAACAGUGUAACAUAGGACAUCAGGUUACCCGAGAUAUUUAAAUGCAUAGCUGAAACUACUGACAACUGAAUAUUAUGGAGACAAAAUAAAGAUUGAAAGCCUAGGUAAUAGUUUUCUAGAAUCUUUGUAAAUACUUGUUUUCAAAUAAGAUCGCAGUUGGGUAUAUAGAUUUCCUUGAGGGCCACCCUUUUCUUCAUAAUGGAUUUUUUAUUGCCAAUUUUGACUCAUUUUAUGUUAAUCUGGCUUCCCCCCCCCCCCCAGAAUGUAUAAGAGAGUGUAAGAACGUAUAAGAGUCCAAUCAUUCUGUCUUCUUCUGGCUCCUUCCCAGAGAAAUAGACUAAGAAUAGUCUUAAUCUGUGUUUUCCAGGUCUGGUUAUAAAUCAGAUAUAGAUUGUGUUUUAAAAGUGGUGUUUUGAUUGAAAUAUAAAUAGCGUUUUCUAUGACUGAUUUUUUUUUUUUUUUUUUUUGUGGUAGCCAGAACAACUAAAAAAAGUCAGGUUGGCUGUUAUCUGCUGUAUACUGUUUAGAUUUUGGUUUCUUAGUGCAAGUCUUCUAUUUCAUUUAAAUGUUAUUUACAGUUAUUUCAGUUUUCUCCUACUAAACAGUGUAGCCCUCAAAUGCCUGAGGAGCACAUUUGCAGUCUGUAUUUUGAAAAGAUUUCAGUUUAAAUUAGUUAAUGAAAAUACCAGAUUUUUUUCAAAGCUGGUUUUGCCUUCUAAAUUUGGGUAUGGUGAAGUUUAAGAGCAAUUGUUUAAUAUGUAGCAAGACCCGGGGAUAUUCCUUUAAAUGAAAAAAGCCUGUAAAUUUAAUGUAAAUAGUAUCUAAUUUUAUUUACUAACUUGGAGAGUUGAAGAAGGAAAAUUUCCUAACAAUAAGCUACAUUUGAACAAAGCAUGAACUUCUUUUUUAAAAUUCAGGAAUAAUUGAACUUAUCAGAUUGACAUCUACAUUAUGCAUUGUUAAUAAUAUCCAGUAAUCUUAUACUUUCAAAGAGGAAAUUUCCACAUAAAUCAGAUUAUUAGGAAUUUUGUAAAACGACAUAGAGGUAAAUAUUGCUAUUAAAUAUGAGUACAGUUUGUUAGUUGCAGGAAGUUUCCUAGUUCAUUAGAGCCAUUUUCUUGAAUUUUGAUUUAUCCUGAGGUGAACUCCAUACAUACUGACAAUGGGUGGUUAAAUGCAAAAUGUUCCUUGUUCUUGUACAGAUAUUUUCCAAGUUAAAACAUUUUAGCAUGCCAAUAUUUUGUCUUUGGCCCAUUCGCCUUUAUUUCCGAAGUAUGUAACUUCUGAUUUUUUCUUUGCUGUAUGGUAAAGCAUUGUAGUUACAUUAUCUGUGUUACUGACCACUUUUCUUCUCAACCCAGAUCUUUUCAUUCUGAAAGUAAAUUGUUACUUGGUUUACUUUAUAGGAAAUUGCUACUUGGUAUACUCCUAGUAGUGAUCCUUAUUCAGGAAUAGCUGGUAAAACUUUUUUGGUAGCAACUUAUACAGACAAUACUUUGAGUACCAUGUGCAGUGAGUGCUAUGCUUAAGAUGGGAAACCGAAUUUCUUUUCAAAUCACAGAAUUCCUGUACUGAAUGGGAAAUACCUCGUCUUCCAAGUUACCUGAUUCUCCAUGGAAAGUACAAGGCAUCAAAGAAAACCGGAUAUGACAAUGUUUAGUUUUAGUUGAAAAUGCAACAUCACUCUACUUAGGAGAGUUGGCAUAUUUUCAGAUACUUAAGCUAUCAUAAAUUUUAGACCAAUGGCUAAUAAUAGGAUAGAUUGAUUGUUGGUUCCUUAUUUAUAGAGAGGCAAAAAGCAGCAUGGCAUUAACUCACAUUCCAGUAAUAAAUGAAAUUUUAAAAAGUGAUGUUAUAGUUUUGACCACCA